CGAAUGCUGACAUAAGUAACGAUAAAGCGGGUGAAAAGCCCGCUCGCCGGAAGACCAAGGGUUCCUGUCCAACGUUAAUCGGGGCAGGGUGAGUCGACCCCUAAGGCGAGGCCGAAAGGCGUAGUCGAUGGGAAACAGGUUAAUAUUCCUGUACUUGGUGUUACUGCGAAGGGGGGACGGAGAAGGCUAUGUUGGCCGGGCGACGGUUGUCCCGGUUUAAGCGUGUAGGCUGGUUUUCCAGGCAAAUCCGGAAAAUCAAGGCUGAGGCGUGAUGACGAGGCACUACGGUGCUGAAGCAACAAAUGCCCUGCUUCCAGGAAAAGCCUCUAAGCAUCAGGUAACAUCAAAUCGUACCCCAAACCGACACAGGUGGUCAGGUAGAGAAUACCAAGGCGCUUGAGAGAACUCGGGUGAAGGAACUAGGCAAAAUGGUGCCGUAACUUCGGGAGAAGGCACGCUGAUAUGUAGGUGAAGUCCCUCGCGGAUGGAGCUGAAAUCAGUCGAAGAUACCAGCUGGCUGCAACUGUUUAUUAAAAACACAGCACUGUGCAAACACGAAAGUGGACGUAUACGGUGUGACGCCUGCCCGGUGCCGGAAGGUUAAUUGAUGGGGUUAGCGCAAGCGAAGCUCUUGAUCGAAGCCCCGGUAAACGGCGGCCGUAACUAUAACGGUCCUAAGGUAGCGAAAUUCCUUGUCGGGUAAGUUCCGACCUGCACGAAUGGCGUAAUGAUGGCCAGGCUGUCUCCACCCGAGACUCAGUGAAAUUGAACUCGCUGUGAAGAUGCAGUGUACCCGCGGCAAGACGGAAAGACCCCGUGAACCUUUACUAUAGCUUGACACUGAACAUUGAGCCUUGAUGUGUAGGAUAGGUGGGAGGCUUUGAAGUGUGGACGCCAGUCUGCAUGGAGCCGACCUUGAAAUACCACCCUUUAAUGUUUGAUGUUCUAACGUUGACCCGUAAUCCGGGUUGCGGACAGUGUCUGGUGGGUAGUUUGACUGGGGCGGUCUCCUCCUAAAGAGUAACGGAGGAGCACGAAGGUUGGCUAAUCCUGGUCGGACAUCAGGAGGUUAGUGCAAUGGCAUAAGC
RNAcentral lists this ribosomal RNA (1088 nucleotides) under Escherichia coli. Its description in RNAcentral is "partial 23S ribosomal RNA". It matches the Rfam family "Bacterial large subunit ribosomal RNA", at positions 1291 to 2364 of the family's 2925-position model. Lineage: Bacteria; Pseudomonadati; Pseudomonadota; Gammaproteobacteria; Enterobacterales; Enterobacteriaceae. The record is from RNAcentral.